This 460-nucleotide ribosomal RNA is filed under the name uncultured bacterium. RNAcentral describes it as "partial 16S ribosomal RNA". It matches the Rfam family "Bacterial small subunit ribosomal RNA", at positions 338 to 795 of the family's 1533-position model. The record is from RNAcentral.
CCUACGGGUGGCAGCAGUGAGGAAUAUUGGUCAAUGGACGAGAGUCUGAACCAGCCAAGUAGCGUGAAGGAUGACUGCCCUAUGGGUUGUAAACUUCUUUUAUAUGGGAAUAAAAUGUUCCACGUGUGGGAUUUUGUAUGUACCAUAUGAAUAAGGAUCGGCUAACUCCGUGCCAGCAGCCGCGGUAAUACGGAGGAUCCGAGCGUUAUCCGGAUUUAUUGGGUUUAAAGGGAGCGUAGGUGGAUUGUUAAGUCAGUUGUGAAAGUUGGCGGCGCAACCGUAAAAUUGCAGUUGAAACUGGCAGUCUUGAGUACAGUAGAGGUGGGCGGAAUUCGUGGUGUAGCGGUGAAAUGCUUAGAUAUCACGAAGAACUCCGAUUGCGAAGGCAGUUCACUGGACUGCAACUGACACUGAGGCUCGAAAGUGUGGGUAUCAAACAGGAUUAGAUACCCCUGUAGUC